Molecule: unclassified non-coding RNA, 343 nt
Filed under: soil metagenome
Description: partial contains 5.8S ribosomal RNA, internal transcribed spacer 2, and large subunit ribosomal RNA
Rfam family: 5.8S ribosomal RNA (bases 1-120)
Source: RNAcentral
GAUGAAGAACGCAGCGAAAUGCGAUAAGUAAUGUGAAUUGCAGAAUUCAGUGAAUCAUCGAAUCUUUGAACGCACAUUGCGCCCGCUAGUAUACUGGCGGGCAUGCCUGUCCGAGCGUCAUUUCAACCCUCAAGCCCCCGGGCUUGGUGUUGGGGAUCGGCGAGCCUCCGCGCCCGCCGUCCCCUAAAUCUAGUGGCGGUCUCGCUGUAGCUUCCUCUGCGUAGUAGCACACCUCGCACUGGGAAACAGCGCGGCCACGCCGUUAAACCCCCAACUUCUGAACGUUUGACCUCGGAUCAGGUAGGAAUACCCGCUGAACUUAAGCAUAUCAAUAAGCGGAGGA